This 498-nucleotide ribosomal RNA is filed under the name uncultured bacterium. RNAcentral describes it as "partial 16S ribosomal RNA". It matches the Rfam family "Bacterial small subunit ribosomal RNA", at positions 29 to 523 of the family's 1533-position model. The record is from RNAcentral.
AUUGAACGCUGGCGGCAUGUCUUACACAUGCAAGUCGAACGGUAACGCGGGGCAACCUGGCGACGAGUGGCGAACGGGUGAGUAAUGCAUCGGAACGUGCCCAGUAGUGGGGGAUAGCCCGGCGAAAGCCGGAUUAAUACCGCAUACGACCUACGGGUGCAAGGGGGGGAUCGCAAGACCUCUCGCUAUUGGAGCGGCCGAUGGCAGAUUAGGUAGUUGGGGGGGUAAAGGCCCACCAAGCCUUCGAUCUGUAGCUGGUCUGAGAGGACGACCAGCCACACUGGGGCUGAGACACGGCCCAGAAUCAUACGGGAGGCAGCAGUGGGGAAGUGUGGACAAUGGGCGCAAGCCUGAUCCAGCCAUGCCGCGUGCGGGAAGAAGGCCUUCGGGUUGUAAACCGCUUUUGUCAGGGAAGAAACGCUCUGGGCUAAUACCUCGGGGUAAUGACGGUACCUGAAGAAUAAGCACCGGCUAACUACGUGCCAGCCGCCGCCGUAA